Auriculariales sp. MPI-PUGE-AT-0066 is the source of this 84-nucleotide non-coding RNA. Lineage: Eukaryota; Fungi; Basidiomycota; Agaricomycetes; Auriculariales. The record is from the annotation of a GenBank genome assembly.
GUCUCCGUAGAUUAGUGGUUAGAUCGCAACGUUGUGGUUACACACAAGUCCGUUGUAACGCGUGUUCGACUCACGCCGGGGACA